Molecule: long non-coding RNA, 1270 nt
Organism: Papaver somniferum (opium poppy)
Lineage: Eukaryota; Viridiplantae; Streptophyta; Magnoliopsida; Ranunculales; Papaveraceae
Exons: 3
Source: RefSeq, a predicted model, not a curated record
CACAUCGGUUUACUCAUCUCCAACGAACAGAUCCCACCCCAAUUCCAUUUCAUCUUCUUAUCCAUUUCACAGAGCCAACACCUUCAAUAACUCUUCCGUACGCUGAGCACAGCGUCACCAACAUUAACGCUACCAUUAACUCCUAUUAUCCGUCUCUCUCUAUCUUAUCUAUAUUCUUAUCAAUAAUAGUAACCCUAGAAGAUAAGAUUUAGAGAGAUAGGAGUUAGGGUUAUAUGUACAAUUGGGGGAACACCAAUUCAAUGAAGAGCAGAGGAAUUGAUGGCAGAGAAAGUCAAUGGUGUAUUGUUGGUGAGUUGGGUCUUGAUUAACUGUCAAAUUGAAGAAGGUACUUGUGAAGCUGAGAACAAACCAAGGAAAAGAAGGAGAAAAAGGAGCAGAACAUUGUUGUCAUUGUGGCUAAACCUGGUACUAAAUAAAGCUUGGAUGAAUUGAGAAGCCAAAAUAGUAGAGGAAUGCCAGCUAGCGACAAUCGGAAGAGAGACAACACAAAGCUCCUGCGAGAAGGCCGUGAAGCAUGAAGGAACAUCAAGCAAAUAAGCAGUGCAAUCCGCUUGCGCACUUUUGGCAAGCCACUUGCAAGAGCUACUCAAGCAGUGUGCUAACAAGACUAAUUGGGCUUGGAAGAAGUGAUAACACCCUGACCCAUAUCCAUACCCAAUAUCCAAACCCGUUUCCUCACCUGAACCGUCAAUUUUGCUACAACUUCCCAUCAUCCAACAUCUCACCCUCUCGAUACUUCAACAUUCGAUUAAACUUCUCAACACCAAAAGCACAUCUGUUUUCUCCUCUCCAUCGAACAGAACCUAACCCAAUUCCAUUUCAUCUUCUUCUUCAUUUCACAGAGCCAACACCUUCAAUAACUUUUUCGUACACUGAGCGCAGCGUCACCAUCAUUAACGCUACCAUUAACUCUUAAUUCUCUGUCUCACUCUAUCUUAUCUCUAGUCUUAUCAAGAACAGUAACCCUAAAAGAUAAGAUUUAGAGAGAAAGGAGUGAAGGUUAGCUGUAAAAAUUGGGAGAACACCAAUUCAAUGAAGAGAGCAGAGGAAUUGAUGGCAGAGAAAGUCAAUGGAAUAUUGUUGGUGAGUUGGGUCUUGAUUAAUUAUCGAAUUGAAGAAGGUAGCGAGAAUUUUGUGUAUAAAUAUGGUUGUCUUUGAUGAGUGCCAAAUAAUGUAUAUAUUUAUCCCUUUUUGUUGGCAUUUAACUCAUCUUUUGUGCAUUAAUUCUACAUUUUAUCCCAUAUUCUGU